RNAcentral lists this non-coding RNA (162 nucleotides) under marine sediment metagenome. The record is from RNAcentral. RNAcentral also lists the same sequence under 1 other name.
CACGUGAGGAGGAAUCUGAAGAAUGCCUGAGGCAAAAUCCGUUCCGAGGCAUACGAAUCACAUACAAAGUGUAUAAGUUGGGCGGGUUUGCAAAACAAAAUGAGGCCCGAUGCUAUCAAGAACUUAUGUAGUGGGUGUGGUGGAUAUACGAGAUGAAGGCUG